RNAcentral lists this ribosomal RNA (497 nucleotides) under uncultured bacterium. RNAcentral describes it as "partial 16S ribosomal RNA". It matches the Rfam family "Bacterial small subunit ribosomal RNA", at positions 28 to 507 of the family's 1533-position model. The record is from RNAcentral.
GAUGAACGCUGGCGGCGUGCCUAAUGCAUGCAAGUCGAGCGAACGGACGAGAAGCUUGCUUCUCUGAUGUUAGCGGCGGACGGGUGGGUAACACGUGGAUAACCUACCUAUAAGACUGGGAUAACUUCGGGAAACCGUAGCUAAUACCGGAUAAUAUUUUGAACCGCAUGGUUCAAAAGUGAAAGACGGUCUUGCUGUCACUUAUAGAUGGAUCCGCGCUGCAUUAGCUAGUUGGUAAGGUAACGGCUUACCAAGGCAACGAUGCGUAGCCGACCUGAGAGGGUGGUCAGCCACCCUGGGGCUGGGCCACGGUCCAGCCUACUACGGGAGGCACCAGUAGGGACUCUUCCGCAAUGGGCGGAAGCCUGACGGAGCAACGCCGCGUGGGUGAUGAAGGUCUUCGGAUCGUACAACUCUGUUAUUAGGGAAGAACAUAUGUGUAAGUAACUGUGCACAUCUUGACGGUACCUAAUCAGAAAGCCCCGGCUAACUACGUG